GGCAUCUAAGCGUGAAGCCCCCCUCAAGAUGAGAUAUCCCAUCGCAAGAGUAAGACCCCUUGAAGACGACGAGGUAGAUAGGGCAGAGGUGGAAGUGCAGCAAUGCAUGUAGCUGACUGUUACUAAUCGGUCGAGGGCUUAACCAGAA
This 148-nucleotide ribosomal RNA is filed under the name Clostridium sp. AM58-1XD. RNAcentral describes it as "partial 23S ribosomal RNA". It matches the Rfam family "Bacterial large subunit ribosomal RNA", at positions 2776 to 2925 of the family's 2925-position model. Lineage: Bacteria; Bacillati; Bacillota; Clostridia; Eubacteriales; Clostridiaceae. The record is from RNAcentral.